This 443-nucleotide ribosomal RNA is filed under the name uncultured bacterium. RNAcentral describes it as "partial 16S ribosomal RNA". It matches the Rfam family "Bacterial small subunit ribosomal RNA", at positions 338 to 795 of the family's 1533-position model. The record is from RNAcentral.
CCUACGGGGAGCAGCAGUGGGGAAUAUUGGGCAAUGGGCGCAAGCCUGACCCAGCAACGCCGCGUGAAGGAAGAAGGCUUUCGGGUUGUAAACUUCUUUUCUCAGGGACGAAGCAAGUGACGGUACCUGAGGAAUAAGCCACGGCUAACUACGUGCCAGCAGCCGCGGUAAUACGUAGGUGGCAAGCGUUAUCCGGAUUUACUGGGUGUAAAGGGCGGGUAGGCGGGGACGCAAGUCAGAUGUGAAAACCACGGGCUCAACCUGUGGCCUGCAUUUGAAACUGUGUUUCUUGAGUACUGGAGAGGCAGCCGGAAUUCCUAGUGUAGCGGUGACAUGCGUAGAUCUUAGGAGGAACACCAGUGGCGAAGGCGGUCUGCUGGACAGCAACUGACGCUGAGGCGCGAAAGCGUGGGGAGCAAACAGGAUUAGAUACCCGAGUAGUC